This 74-nucleotide transfer RNA is filed under the name Kocuria palustris. Its description in RNAcentral is "tRNA-Gly". It matches the Rfam family "tRNA". Rfam says of the family: Transfer RNA (tRNA) molecules are approximately 80 nucleotides in length. The record is from RNAcentral. Lineage: Bacteria; Bacillati; Actinomycetota; Actinomycetes; Micrococcales; Micrococcaceae. RNAcentral also lists the same sequence under 5 other names.
GGGGAUGUAGCUCAAUGGUAGAGCCUCUGUCUUCCAAACAGAUUACGCGGGUUCGAUUCCCGUCAUCCCCUCCA